CAUGAUCGGCGGCACCAGCAGGAACAACUGCUCGAAGGCCGCCGGAGCCGCGAUGGAGCGAACCGCGCACCAUGCGAUCACCACGGCCAUCACAUGAAUCAGCAAUGAGAGGACGGCAACUUUCGGUCCGCUGCUGCGGUUGAAGAUCACCUGAUUGGCGAUCACCGCGCAGGCAUGAAUGUGGCGCAGCGGCCAGAGGGUCUUGAGCCAGUU
RNAcentral lists this unclassified non-coding RNA (213 nucleotides) under Hevea brasiliensis (rubber tree). The record is from RNAcentral. Lineage: Eukaryota; Viridiplantae; Streptophyta; Magnoliopsida; Malpighiales; Euphorbiaceae.